RNAcentral lists this ribosomal RNA (755 nucleotides) under Weissella minor. RNAcentral describes it as "bacterial SSU rRNA". It matches the Rfam family "Bacterial small subunit ribosomal RNA", at positions 49 to 758 of the family's 1533-position model. Lineage: Bacteria; Bacillati; Bacillota; Bacilli; Lactobacillales; Lactobacillaceae. The record is from RNAcentral.
UAAUACAUGCAAGUCGAACGCUUUGUGGUUCAACUGAUAUGAAGAGCUUGCUCGGAUUUGAAGAUGAACAUUGCAAAGAGUGGCGAACGGGUGAGUAACACGUGGGAAACCUACCUCUUAGCGGGGGAUAACACUUGGAAACAAGUGCUAAUACCGCAUAAUACUGAUAACCGCAUGGUUAUCAGUUGAAAGAUGGUUCUGCUAUCACUAAGAGAUGGUCCCGCGGUGUAUUAGCUAGUUGGUAAGGUAAUGGCUUACCAAGGCAAUGAUACAUAGCCGAGUUGAGAGACUGAUCGGCCACAAUGGGACUGAGACACGGCCCAUACUCCUACGGGAGGCAGCAGUAGGGAAUCUUCCACAAUGGACGAAAGUCUGAUGGAGCAACGCCGCGUGUGUGAUGAAGGGUUUCGGCUCGUAAAACACUGUUGUAAGAGAAGAAUGACAUUGAGAGUAACUGUUCAGUGUGUGACGGUAUCUUACCAGAAAGGAACGGCUAAAUACGUGCCAGCAGCCGCGGUAAUACGUAUGUUCCAAGCGUUAUCCGGAUUUAUUGGGCGUAAAGCGAGCGCAGACGGUUGUUUAAGUCUGAAGUGAAAGCCCACAGCUUAACUGUGGAAGUGCUUUGGAAACUGGAUAACUUGAGUGCAGUAGAGGAGAGUGGAACUCCAUGUGUAGCGGUGAAAUGCGUAGAUAUAUGGAAGAACACCAGUGGCGAAGGCGGCUCUCUGGACUGUAACUGACGUUGAGGCUCGAAA